This 233-nucleotide long non-coding RNA is filed under the name Capsicum annuum. RNAcentral describes it as "long non-coding RNA (CANN_LNC001294)". Lineage: Eukaryota; Viridiplantae; Streptophyta; Magnoliopsida; Solanales; Solanaceae. The record is from RNAcentral.
GGAAUGUAAUUCAGGAAAAAGUGAUAAAAUAAUAACAUUGUCAAAAACCAGUCAAAAACACACAUGAUAUUUAAAUAUACAUUUAUAGAAUGCUAGAAUAAGGAAAAAGGUCAUGAACAUGUGAGUUUAAAAUAUUAACAUGAACUGUAUAUAUUGUUGUAUCCUAAAGGCACCCAUGGGUUGUAUGGGUUUGACUCCGCCUGUAGAAGGGCCCCGGGGCAUGUUAGCUACAC